AAACCAGGACUCAAACCUAUCUCUUUUCUUUCCAAAAUCUAGAAUUUUAACCUAUGCACCAUGAUUCCAUUGAAGACCUCCAAGGUGCAGCCAGCUGCUAAGUCAUGGCAAGUCAACAUUGUGUCCUAUCACAACAAGGCUUUGCAACAGCAAUGAUGCAAUCACUCAGAUGCUGUUUAAACAUUACAUUAAAAGGCAAGCUGAAGUCCAAGGUUAUCUUGAGCAGCAAUGUGUAUGGCCUUGGGAGGAAAAAAAAAAAUCACCAAAUCCAUGGAUGAUGCUAUGUAUUUAUAAUCUAAACUGGAAUCCCCAUCUACUGUUCCAACACACAGGAGUAUUUCUGAAAGCUACAAGGCUCACUACACUGCUUGAAAGUAGAAGUAGAAGGAAGAAGUUCAGAGUCUUGGAUGGCCACUUUCCAAAGAAGUGGAGGUACACGGACCAGACACAACAGCCUUUUUUUUGGAAGCUCUUUUAACAUGGAGAGUCUCAAGCUCCGCCUCAGACUACUGGAUCAGAAUCCACAUCCCCAUUAAAAUUUGCGAAACACUGCUGUAGGAAGACCUUACUGGACAAAAACAUUUUUUUCCCCCUUCUCCCAGCCUGAGUUUCUCUGAUUGGAAAAUGGAACUAUAACAAAGUAUACACAAAGAGGGAAAAAAAAAAAAAAACUGAAGGAGCACAGUUCACAUGAGUGGGGGUGGGGGUGGGGGUGGGGGUGCGUUAUGGGAGGAUCUCUCUAAGAUCUAUACUUGGCGCGAUUUUUAACCUUGUAGGGCCAGGGUGUUACUUCCUCUGUAAGGCAGUGAAAUGAUUUUCAAAAGGCGCUAACACUCUCUCGGAGCACUGUCCUUAUGACUUUUAAAAGGGACCGAUUUAGAAGCGCGGACGCUCCAGAGGUGUUGAGGGCAGCGGCCGGGGCCAGCGCUCCAGCCUCUCCCACCCGACAGCGGGCUCGGGGCCCUGGUCCCCGCCGUCCACCCCUGCACAUCUGCACCCCCAGUCCUGCAAACCUCGGGCCGCCCAGACCCUGGGGUCCGCCAGGCCUCCGGUCUGAACCGUAGUAGCUGGAGCGUUCCGCAGGCUCUGUAACUUUCCCUGAAAUGAAAUAAAUAAAGACCGUAAGUGCGGACAUAGCGGGCCUUCAAAAAAUAG
RNAcentral lists this long non-coding RNA (1155 nucleotides) under Canis lupus familiaris (dog). RNAcentral describes it as "lncRNA (ENSCAFG00040007025.1)". Lineage: Eukaryota; Metazoa; Chordata; Mammalia; Carnivora; Canidae. The record is from RNAcentral.